ACGCUGGCGGCAGGCCUAACACAUGCAAGUCGAGCGGUAGAGAGAAGCUUGCUUCUCUUGAGAGCGGCGGACGGGUGAGUAAUGCCUAGGAAUCUGCCUGGUAGUGGGGGAUAACGUUCGGAAACGGACGCUAAUACCGCAUACGUCCUACGGGAGAAAGCAGGGGACCUUCGGGCCUUGCGCUAUCAGAUGAGCCUAGGUCGGAUUAGCUAGUUGGUGAGGUAAUGGCUCACCAAGGCGACGAUCCGUAACUGGUCUGAGAGGAUGAUCAGUCACACUGGAACUGAGACACGGUCCAGACUCCUACGGGAGGCAGCAGUGGGGAAUAUUGGACAAUGGGCGAAAGCCUGAUCCAGCCAUGCCGCGUGUGUGAAGAAGGUCUUCGGAUUGUAAAGCACUUUAAGUUGGGAGGAAGGGCAUUAACCUAAUACGUUGAUGUUUUGACGUUACCGACAGAAUAAGCACCGGCUAACUCUGUGCCAGCAGCCGCGGUAAUACAGAGGGUGCAAGCGUUAAUCGGAAUUACUGGGCGUAAAGCGCGCGUAGGUGGUUUGUUAAGUUGAAUGUGAAAUCCCCGGGCUCAACCUGGGAACUGCAUCCAAAACUGGCAAGCUAGAGUAGGGCAGAGGGUGGUGGAAUUUCCUGUGUAGCGGUGAAAUGCGUAGAUAUAGGAAGGAACACCAGUGGCGAAGGCGACCACCUGGGCUCAUACUGACACUGAGGUGCGAAAGCGUGGGGAGCAAAC
Molecule: ribosomal RNA, 745 nt
Filed under: uncultured bacterium
Lineage: Bacteria
Description: bacterial SSU rRNA
Rfam family: Bacterial small subunit ribosomal RNA
Source: RNAcentral